AUUGAACGCUGGCGGCAGGCCUAACACAUGCAAGUCGAACGAGUGGCGGACGGGUGAGUAAUGUCUGGGAAACUGCCCGAUGGCGGGGGAUAACUACUGGAAAGGGUAGCUAAUACCGCAUACCAUCGGUUAUGCCCAGAUGGGAUUAGCUAGUAGGUGGGGUAACGUCUCACCUAGGCGGCGAACCCUAGCUGGUCUGAGAGGAUGACCAGCCACACUGGAACGGAGACACGGUCCAGACUCCUACGGGAUGCAGCAGUGGGGAAUAUUGCACAAUGGGCGCAAGCCUGAUUCAGCCCUGCCGCGUGUAUGAAGAAGGCCUGCGGGUUGUAAAGUAAUUUCAGCGAGGAGGCGUUACCCGCAGAAGAAGCCCCGGCUAACUCCGUGCCAGCAGCCGCGGUAAUAC
RNAcentral lists this ribosomal RNA (406 nucleotides) under uncultured bacterium. RNAcentral's name for it is "partial 16S ribosomal RNA". It matches the Rfam family "Bacterial small subunit ribosomal RNA", at positions 30 to 526 of the family's 1533-position model. The record is from RNAcentral.